UCCAGGAAGAUCACACACAGCCGUCACCCACAGGCUGCAGUGCUUGGUUACCACUGCACCAUGAUGACAAGGGUGGCCCAGGAGGCACACCUGCAGGCACGCUGGCAGGACUCAGCGCAGAGAAACCAGGCCACCCAGCAACAUCAGAGCCGCCAGGAGCGCACACGGCAACCAGGCCUUACCUCGAGCUCUGAGGAAAAGCACGUGGAUGGGUGUUAAGACCCACCUGGUGCAGAUCAUGACGGGCUCUGCUGUAGUCCAGGCUGAGUGUGCAGAGGAGAAAUGGUAUACGGCCUGCAGCCUGGGACCUAGAAGGGAGACUUCAAGACAGAUCUCGCUCGGUGACUAAUCUUCCCUUCUGCCAGUUUAGCUCUCUAGAACUAUCUGAAGAUGCGGGGUAGUGAGGUGGGGGAAGGAAGCUGCUCAGACAUUGCCUGACCCCAGACUCUGUCUUCCCCUACCAGAGCAGCUCCCUAUGAGGAGGAUUCAGCAUGGGUCCCAGGAAGCAGGCUAUGGGGCUCCAAUAAACAGGACAGACCAUA
Psammomys obesus (fat sand rat) is the source of this 542-nucleotide long non-coding RNA. RefSeq lists it as uncharacterized. The record is from RefSeq and is a predicted model, not a curated record. The transcript has 2 exons. NCBI's taxonomy places the organism in Eukaryota, Metazoa, Chordata, Mammalia, Rodentia, Muridae.